GAGCUCCGGGCUCAAGUGUAGCAACGCCUUCAUCGGAAUAAACAGUAACAGUCCUUUUAGGGACAUUUUGUAUACGAGAUCGUAAUUCUGACAUUACAGUUAUAUAUGGAUCUUUUUCUUCAGCAUAAUCUGGUUUUUCAAGGUCUUCCAUUUUAUCAAGAUCUUCCAUUUCGUUAUCAUCUCCGGUCUUAGCAUCACCUUCUAUUUUACUGGCAUCUUCCAUUUUUUCAUCAAUUGUUUCUAAGGAAUUUUUAUCCUUGGAGGCCGUAUCUUGUUUAUCAUCAGAGUCUUCUGGUAACUCUCUUUUAUUUCUGUAUUUUGCUACAAUGGAUGUCUUUUGGCGACCACGAAUCAGUUUGUCACGAUCCUCCGACAUGAUUCGUCUUUUCUCCUUCUCAAAACGUUCCUCAUUCUCUGCUUUGGCGAUGG
Schizosaccharomyces pombe (fission yeast) is the source of this 429-nucleotide non-coding RNA. NCBI's taxonomy places the organism in Eukaryota, Fungi, Ascomycota, Schizosaccharomycetes, Schizosaccharomycetales, Schizosaccharomycetaceae. The record is from the annotation of a GenBank genome assembly.